This 254-nucleotide ribosomal RNA is filed under the name uncultured bacterium. Its description in RNAcentral is "partial 16S ribosomal RNA". It matches the Rfam family "Bacterial small subunit ribosomal RNA", at positions 524 to 776 of the family's 1533-position model. The record is from RNAcentral.
UACGGGGGGAGCAAGCGUUGUUCGGAUUUACUGGGCGUAAAGGGCGCGUAGGCGGCCAGCACAAGUCAGUUGUGAAAUCUCCGAGCUUAACUCGGAAAGGUCAACUGAUACUGUGCGGCUAGAGUGCGGAAGGGGCAACUGGAAUUCUUGGUGUAGCGGUGAAAUGCGUAGAUAUCAGGAGGAACACCUGCGGUGUAGACGGCUUACUGGACCAUAACUGACGCUGAGGCACGAAAGCGUGGGGAGCAAACAGG